This 367-nucleotide unclassified non-coding RNA is filed under the name soil metagenome. RNAcentral describes it as "partial contains 5.8S ribosomal RNA, internal transcribed spacer 2, and large subunit ribosomal RNA". The stretch from base 1 to 122 matches the Rfam family "5.8S ribosomal RNA", at positions 35 to 154 of the family's 154-position model. The record is from RNAcentral.
GAUGAAGAACGUAGCGAAAUGCAAUACUUGGUGUGAAUUGCAGAAUCCCGUGAACCAUCGAGUUUUUGAACGCAAGUUGCGCCCGAAGCCGUUAGGCCGAGGGCACGCCUGCCUGGGUGUCACACAUCGUUGCCCCAAUGCCAAUCGCCUCACUUUGUAGGUAUUUGCUUGGGGUGAAUGUUGGCCUCCCGUGAGCUUUGUCUCACGGUUGGUUGAAAAUCGAGUGCAUGGUGUCGGGUGUACCAUGAUGGAUGGUGGUUGAGUGAUGAUGCUCGGUGACCCACAUGCGUCCCUUGGAUGCUCCCUAAGGAGACCUCAGGUCAGGCGGGGCUACCCGCUGAGUUUAAGCAUAUCAAUAAGCGGAGGA